GUGCUCAUUUUGGCAGCAUAUAUACUAAAAUCGAUAUAAUUCAAAGAUGAGCAUGACCCCUGCUCAAUAUUGACAUACAAACUCAUGAAGCAUUCUAUAUUUUU
RNAcentral lists this small nuclear RNA (104 nucleotides) under Neogale vison (American mink). Lineage: Eukaryota; Metazoa; Chordata; Mammalia; Carnivora; Mustelidae. The record is from RNAcentral.